Molecule: long non-coding RNA, 2325 nt
Organism: Vulpes vulpes (red fox)
Lineage: Eukaryota; Metazoa; Chordata; Mammalia; Carnivora; Canidae
Source: Ensembl
AAAAAAAGAAGAACUUGAGAUUCUUAGACUGCUUCCGUGGUCUUGUUUGGGGGCUGAGCUCAUUGAGAUGCUCCUCCCUCCCCUAGCCAAGGAACAGGCUGGUAUGUUAGCUCCGCUGUGAUAAUGCUGCAUAACGAGCAGCCCACAGAAUUCCUGUGACUUACAACACUAAGUGUUCUUUUCCUUGCUCCCAGGGCUAUGGAUUGACCUGAGGGGCUCUGCUUCAGACUGUGGGUCAGGUGCAGGUGUCUCUCUGGAACCCAAUUGGCAGGAUGUGAACUACCUGGGGCAUUCUCCUGACAAAACUCAGAGGGCCAGGCCGAACCACAGAGGUGCCCAAAAACCUAUACUGUAAGCCUUGCAUCUUGUCUGUUCACAUCUCGUGUGCAGCAAGUCAGGUGGCCAGGGCUGCCCUACAUGAGACAGGAAGCCGAUGCCUGCCCCCGGGGUUGUGGAGGGCUGGCCCUGCUAACCACAUGGCAGAGAAUAGGCAUGGUUCUGUGGAAGUGAACAUGUGGGGAUAUUCCCACAUGCCACAGACCGUCCCUGGAGUCACAAUCUGUCCUUAGGACAGUAUCCAAGAGAUUGAUAUUUGGGGUGUGCCCAUCCCAAAUGUGCCUCUUCCCCUAGUUCCUGCUCCACGGGACCUGCUCUGUGGUCAGUUUCUGAGCCUGUCCCACCACCCACUGUCCACACCCACUGUCCUGAUCAGCCCUGACGCCAAUGUCAUUUCUUCCCAGUGGCUGGCUGCUGGCUUCACGCUGAGCCGGGUCCCACAUGAGAAACUGGUGCAUGCUCUGGCAAGCAGAAGUGAAAGCAGGACCAGUUUACUCCAGAUGAGCUUCAAGGCACCUGGGUUUGCCAGGGUUGUGCACCAAGUUGGGAUCCACGGUCCCCUGCCCCCCAAGGGCUCUGGUCGUGUCCCUCUGCUUCUUGGUUCUGCAGGAAAGUUGUAUCAUGUGUGUGGAGGUGGUGAGAGGGCUGUUUAUCUUCACAGCUGCUGCCAGCCUUCCCAGAGAUGUGCCCUCACCACACGUGCUGUCGCUGUGACGUGGAAGGCCGGCUGUGGGGCCCAGACGGUGCCCCCUGAGACCUGCAGUCUCUCCCACGGGGAUGCCCUCUCCUGCAUCUUGGUGCUCGCUCUAAUGGGCCAGGCAACAGGAAGGAACACAUCGUUGGUGACUUUCAGAACAUCUGUGGUGCACAGUGAGGGGGUGGAGAUCUCCAGAGGCGCAGACUUGGCUCCCCCAGGGCCUGCGGUUGGCCAGCAGAGGUCUCUGGAAAUCAGAGAGGAUGCUGCUGUGACUGAGUCUCUCGUCUUCUGAGCCAGGUGCUGUGUCUUCUCUCAAUACUCAGUCUGUGGAUGACUUUGCGUGGAAGGAUUACCAGGAAGCCAAAACUGAUGGAAUCCUUGGGUGGUCGGCCACAGGGUGGCAGGAAGAGCAGGCUGGCCCCUCCGGGGCUUUGGGUGAGCCACUGCAGGGAACCCAGCCCCUACUGUUGCCCUGGGCAACUGCUGGACUGGGGAUUGUCCUAACCUUGAAAACUGAUUACUGGCCCUGCCAGCGCCCACGGUCUCAAAGCAGAUUAAGCAGGAGGUUGGUGGGUUUAGGGACCCAGGCAUUGCCUCCUCCGGGGCAUCUAUGGCAACCCCCUUCCCACAGAGACUAGAAGGUUUCAGGUGGGCAGGUGUCUGCCCUGGGGGCUCUGGGCCUUGGGGUUUCCCGCGUAGCCCCCUUCUGCUGGGAGGGGCCCCACACAUGUGGGAUGGUCGGCCCAUCUCAGAUCAGCACAGCCUCAUCACCCGGCUGAAACCGGACACCCCUCCCUUGGCCUCUUGGCCCACAGAUCCUAUUUCAGUGCCUUCAAACAGCGUGCAAGUCCAGGUUCCUCUUAAGACACCCACCAAGCCCCUGCGGCUGCCACCUGUGCCUGGGCUGUGCUGGUCCCUCAGGGGGAAGGGAGACUCGCCUCUCAUGGCCACAAAGGGCACAUGUGAUGGGCGUCACUUGUGCGUUAGGCUAUAAGGUCAGGCUUCUGUCAGCCUCUCCUUCCUGCUCUGCUCCAUCUGCCAAUGAAGCCAGCAGCUGCCAUCUCAAGAGCCGCCUUGGGAGAGGCCCCCAGACAGGGACCGAGGACAGUGCCCGGCUGCAGAGAGCUGAAUCCUGCUGUGAGGCCUGUGCGCCAGCUUGGAGCCUUCAGACAGGCUAUGGGCUCGCCGACAUCAGCUACCGGGACUGGAGCUGUUUGUUACACAGCGAUAACUAACCGCUGGAUCCUGGUGCCCUGGUCUCCAGCAGCUCCAUGGCCUCAUCAUACCCUGAG